UUCCUACGGGAGGCAGCAGUAGGGAAUCUUCCGCAAUGGACGAAAGUCUGACGGAGCAACGCCGCGUGAGUGAUGAAGGUUUUCGGAUCGUAAAGCUCUGUUGUUAGGGAAGAACAAGUGCCGUUCAAAUAGGGCGGCGCCUUGACGGUACCUAACCAGAAAGCCACGGCUAACUACGUGCCAGCAGCCGCGGUAAUACGUAGGUGGCAAGCGUUGUCCGGAAUUAUUGGGCGUAAAGGGCUCGCAGGCGGUUUCUUAAGUCUGAUGUGAAAGCCCCCGGCUCAACCGGGGAGGGUCAUUGGAAACUGGGGAACUUGAGUGCAGAAGAGGAGAGUGGAAUUCCACGUGUAGCGGUGAAAUGCGUAGAGAUGUGGAGGAACACCAGUGGCGAAGGCGACUCUCUGGUCUGUAACUGACGCUGAGGAGCGAAAGCGUGGGGAGCGAACAGGAUUAGAUACCCUGGUAGUCCA
Molecule: ribosomal RNA, 470 nt
Filed under: Bacillus sp. (in: firmicutes)
Lineage: Bacteria; Bacillati; Bacillota; Bacilli; Caryophanales; Bacillaceae
Description: bacterial SSU rRNA
Rfam family: Bacterial small subunit ribosomal RNA
Source: RNAcentral